GGAAGGAUCAUUGACACAAUAAUCUAACCUUAUUAACACACCAUUAUGAAUACGUAUUGUCUUAUCUAGUUUUUAAACUACUUAAAUACUUUUACAAUCUUAAACAAUUAUUAUAUCCCUUUACAAGGAUUAUAAUAUUAUAUUUUUUAAUAUACUAGAUACAACUGUUAACAACGGAUAUCUAGGCUCUUACAACGAUGAAGAACGCAGCAAAAUGCGAUACGUAAUGUGAAUUGCAGAUUUCAGUGAAUCAUCAAAUCUUUGAACGCAACUUGCGCUUAGGGUUAAUUGCCCUGAGCACGUUUGUUUGAGUGUCGGUAAAUAUCAUACUUAUAAGUAUAUGAGUUUCUGCUAUCCUCGGAUGGUUGUUACUUUAAAGAUAAUUAUACCUUGAUUUUAAUCAAUACUACUAUUAUGUAGCAAUGUUCUUUUGAACAAAACCUUACAUUCUAUUAGUUUGGCUUUGAUCAUUUUAUUCCUAUCCAUUAUUCGACCUCAAAUCAAGCGAGAUUACCGGCUGAACUUAAGCAUAUCACUAAGCCGAGGAAAAGAAACUAACAAGGAUACCCUUAGUAACGGCGAGUGAAGCGGGUAGAGCUCAAUCUUAAAAUCUAUGUCUCAUAUGGGGCAUCGAAUUGUAGUUUUUGGAUAAUUUUUCCCUCUUCUUAACAAUAAGUUAAAGUCUCUUGGAAUAGAGUGUCAUAGAAGGUGAGAACCCUGUGAAUAGUCUAUUGAAAAGGAGGAAUUGCGUUUAAUUAUCUUAGAGUCGGGUUGUUUGAGAAUGCAGCCUAAAUUGGGUGGUAAAUCUCAUCUAAAGCUAAAUAUUGGUAAGAGACCGAUAGCAAACAAGUACCGUGAGGGAAAGAUGAAAAGAACUUUGAAAAGAGAGUUAAAAGUACUUGAAAUUGUUAACAGGGAACCGCUUAAAUUCUAAUCUAUUCAUACUUAUAAAUCAAUCUUACCAAGGAGGUAAAGCUUACAAAGAGGUAAUUACGGUUGCCCUUUGUGGGUGUACACUUUGAGGAAAGGUGCACUUUAUAGGAAUGAAAAUCAACAUCAGUUUUUACUCUAUUAGAAAAAUGAGAGGAAGGUAGUACCUAUGCUCUCGGGUAUAUGUAUGUUAUAGACUCUUAUUGAAUAAUAAGGUAAAGACUGAGGAAUCAAUAUACUCCUCUAAGGAUUGUGAAUUGAGGUUAUUAGUUGUUAUAUAUGUGUAGACUGUAACAGUGUAUAUGUAUAUGGUGGUUAAAGAGCUUCAUAACAAAAGUAUAUUAGGGAUGUUGAUCUGUACAGAAGAAGGAUUUAAUCGACCCGUCUUGAAACACGGACCAAGGAGUCUAACAUGUAUGCGAGUAAAUAGAGUGAUAAAACUCUUCAUGCAAAAUGAAAGUAAAAUCAUGGUAGGAACUGUAUCUCCGGAUAUAAUGCACUAUCAACCGACUUGGAUGGGGGUAACCUCUGAAAGGAUUGAGUAAGAGCAUUUAUGUUAGGACCCGAAAGAUGGUGAACUAUGCCUGAGUAGGGCAAAGUCAGAGGAAACUCUGAUGGAGGCUCGAAGGGGUUCUGACGUGCAAAUCGAUCUUCAAACUUGGGUAUAGGGGCGAAAGACUAAUCGAACCAUCUAGUAGCUGGUUCCCUC
Molecule: unclassified non-coding RNA, 1639 nt
Filed under: uncultured fungus
Lineage: Eukaryota; Fungi
Description: sequence contains 18S rRNA gene, ITS1, 5.8S rRNA gene, ITS2, 28S rRNA gene
Rfam family: Eukaryotic large subunit ribosomal RNA (bases 491-1639)
Source: RNAcentral